UAUCAAAGUUAGAGGAAGCUCUUUACAACAUUCAGUUUGAGCAGCAUUGGCUCGAGGCUCAGACCGAACGCCAGGCAAUAGUAAACGAAGCAAUGAGCCGGAGGGCAAUCCACAAGGCCUUCUUUGAAUCAGCAGCACUUGUUGGUGCCAGCGCUCUCCAAGUUUACCUUCUUCGCCGCCUCUUUGAACGAAAGCUUGGGGUGACCAGAGUCUGAACUUGUCUCAGCCAGAGAUAUUACCAAUAGAAGAGCUUUACACUUAACUGUUAUUCCCCCAAGCUUCUGUUUUUUUAAUUUCUAUUUUAUCCCGCAGGAAUAAAUCAUGUAUAGAAAACCAUCACUUUGGAAGCUCUAAGCCAUCUCAUUGUUUCUUGUGGAAUCCCUUCGAGUCUCAAAA
Molecule: non-coding RNA, 396 nt
Organism: Prunus avium (sweet cherry)
Lineage: Eukaryota; Viridiplantae; Streptophyta; Magnoliopsida; Rosales; Rosaceae
Source: RefSeq, a predicted model, not a curated record